UACAGAGGGUGCAAACGUUGUUCGGAUUUACUGGGCGUAAAGCGUGUGUAGGCGGCUUCGCAAGUUGGAUGUGAAAUCCCACGGCUCAACCGUGGACGUGCAUCCAAAACUGCGUCGCUAGAGUCUCGGAGAGGAAGGUGGAAUGCUUGGUGUAGAGGUGAAAUUCGUAGAUAUCAAGCAGAACACCUGCGGCGAAGGCGGCCUUCUGGACGAUGACUGACGCUGAGACACGAAAGCGUGGGGAGCAAACAGG
This 253-nucleotide ribosomal RNA is filed under the name uncultured bacterium. RNAcentral's name for it is "partial 16S ribosomal RNA". It matches the Rfam family "Bacterial small subunit ribosomal RNA", at positions 524 to 776 of the family's 1533-position model. The record is from RNAcentral.